UGGGGAAUAUUGGACAAUGGGCGAAAGCCUGAUCCAGCCAUGCCGCGUGUGUGAAGAAGGUCUUCGGAUUGUAAAGCACUUUAAGUUGGGAGGAAGGGCAGUAAGCGAAUACCUUGCUGUUUUGACGUUACCGACAGAAUAAGCACCGGCUAACUCUGUGCCAGCAGCCGCGGUAAUACAGAGGGUGCAAGCGUUAAUCGGAAUUACUGGGCGUAAAGCGCGCGUAGGUGGUUCGUUAAGUUGAAUGUGAAAGCCCCGGGCUCAACCUGAGAACUGCAUCCAAAACUGGCGAGCUAGAGUAGGGCAGAGGGUGAUGGAAUUUCCUGUGUAGCGGUGAAAUGCGUAGAUAUAGGGAGGAAAACCAGUGGCGAAGGCGACCACCUGGGCUCAUACUGACACUGAGGUGCGAAAGCGUGGGGAGCAAACAGG
RNAcentral lists this ribosomal RNA (429 nucleotides) under Pseudomonadota bacterium. Its description in RNAcentral is "Proteobacteria bacterium partial 16S ribosomal RNA". It matches the Rfam family "Bacterial small subunit ribosomal RNA", at positions 355 to 776 of the family's 1533-position model. The record is from RNAcentral. Lineage: Bacteria; Pseudomonadati; Pseudomonadota.